AGAGAGUUAGCAAAGUGGCUUAACGCGGCAGUCUCGAAAACUGUUAUACUUUUUUGAGUAUCAAGGGUUCGAAUCCCUUACUCUCUGCCA
RNAcentral lists this transfer RNA (90 nucleotides) under Cytophagales bacterium. Its description in RNAcentral is "tRNA-Ser". It matches the Rfam family "tRNA". Rfam says of the family: Transfer RNA (tRNA) molecules are approximately 80 nucleotides in length. Their secondary structure includes four short double-helical elements and three loops (D, anti-codon, and T loops). Further hydrogen bonds mediate the characteristic L-shaped molecular structure. tRNAs have two regions of fundamental functional importance: the anti-codon, which is responsible for specific mRNA codon recognition, and the 3' end, to which the tRNAs corresponding amino acid is attached (by aminoacyl-tRNA synthetases). tRNAs cope with the degeneracy of the genetic code in two manners: having more than one tRNA (with a specific anti-codon) for a particular amino acid; and 'wobble' base-pairing, i.e. permitting non-standard base-pairing at the 3rd anti-codon position. Lineage: Bacteria; Pseudomonadati; Bacteroidota; Cytophagia; Cytophagales. The record is from RNAcentral.